RNAcentral lists this ribosomal RNA (396 nucleotides) under uncultured bacterium. RNAcentral's name for it is "partial 16S ribosomal RNA". It matches the Rfam family "Bacterial small subunit ribosomal RNA", at positions 523 to 918 of the family's 1533-position model. The record is from RNAcentral.
AUACGUAGGUGACAAGCGUUAUCCGGAUUUACUGGGUGUAAAGGGCGUGUAGGCGGAGAUGCAAGUCAGGAGUGAAACCUAGGGGCUCAACCCCUAAACUGCUUUUGAAACUGUAUCCCUUGAGUAUCGGAGAGGCAGGCGGAAAUUCUCGUGGAGCGGUUAAAUGCGUAGAUAUUAGGAGGAACACCAGUGGCGAAGGCGGCCUGCUGGACGACAACUGACGCUGAGGCGCGAAAGCGUGGGGAGCAAACAGGAUUAGAUACCCUGGUAGUCCACGCUGUAAACGAUGAAUACUAGGUGUGGGGGGACUGACCCCCUCCGUGCCGCAGUUAACACAAUAAGUAUUCCACCUGGGGAGUACGAUCGCAAGAUUGAAACUCAAAUGAAUUGACGGGG